This 6571-nucleotide long non-coding RNA is filed under the name Sus scrofa (pig). RNAcentral's name for it is "lncRNA (ENSSSCG00005004733.1)". Lineage: Eukaryota; Metazoa; Chordata; Mammalia; Artiodactyla; Suidae. The record is from RNAcentral.
GCAGAUGUUUGCAGCCUUGGCCUCACACCUCCAUAAAGACCAGUGAUUGUAAUUGUUAUGUGGUAACUGUACAAAAUGAAACAAAGCUUCACCACAAAAAUAGCUGGAGAAACUGUUAAAGUAUAGCAACAUAACUUGUAUCUUCCUUGUUUCUUAUUCUCUGGGGGAACCUGUGCUAAAAAUAGGAUGUGCUAAAUAGAAAUUACCCCUUUUCCUGUAUAAGCAGCUGCUCCCUAAGCUUCAGGGAGCCCAGGUUCUCUCUGUUCAGUGCUCCCAGCCACUCUCUUGGUCCAUAAACCUGCUUGAGAUCUCAUUGCUCCAGCGUCUGCCUCCUUCUUCCCAGCCGUUUCUAACAGUAUUCAGGAAAAAUGACCUAAUACUUCAAGUGCCCGAUUAUCUGUUGUUUCACUACUGUGUAUAAAUAAAGGAAUAAAGGGAGAAAACGAGGAGAUUCUAGGUUGGUAAAUUUCUUUGACCCCAUUCUCAUAACUGUUGGGAUAUUUACCGUGUGAGAGGAUAAAAUUAAGCUCAAAGAUGUAUCACUAAAACCUUUUUUUUUUUUUUUAAACUAUCAAUCCAAAGAUUUAUCCAUAGCUUUUCUGGAUUUGCUUUAAAAAAACAAAACAAAACUGACAGAUACAUCCCCCUGUAAAAAACUCCCGCAGUCUCUCAGUGUAACUUCCCGGAGCUCUCUCAGGUUCUGCCCCACGUUACAGUGGUGGAUUUGUCCGGGAUAAUUCUGUAGGUCUGAAAUGCUGCAGGAAGUUACUCCAUGUUAGGUUCAUUUACAGAGUUGCUUUUUCUCCUUAGAAGAGUAUUUAAAAAUUUAAUGAAUAUUGCAUGGUACGAAACGUAUUACUUGGAAAUGAAAAAGUCACAGUAAAAUUUCAAACAUGCUGUGACUUCUGAUUCCAUGCAGAUGUUUGUUAUACCUGUGAGUUCCGUAAUCUAGGGGAUUUUAACCCCAAUCUCACAGUCUGGUAGUUUCUUUCUCUCUCUCUCUUUUUUUUGGGGUCUUUUUAAGGCCACCCACAGCAUAUGAAAGUUCCCAGGCUAGGGGUCCAAUCGGAGCUGUAGCUACCAGCCUACGCCAGAGCCACAGCCACGCAGGAUCCAUGCCGUGUUUGCGACGUACACCACAGCUCACGGCAACGCUGGAUCCUUAACCCACUGAGCAAGGCCAGGGAUCGAACCCGCAACCUCAUGGUUCCUUGUCGGAUGCGUUAACCUCUGUGCCACGACGGGAACUCCAGUGCCCUUGUUUUGACUCUGCCAUUGACUGUUCGUCCUGGCUUAAAUUCCCUUGUUAUUCUCUGGAUGCAGAGUGUGUCUAAUGUAGCAGAUACAUAGAAUUAUAGAAGACCUCACAGCAACGUUCCUUUUUUUUUUUUUUUUUUUGUCUUUUUGCUAUUUCUUGGGCCGCUCCAGCGGCAUAUGGAGAUUCCCAGGCUAUGGGUCCAAUCGGAGCUGUAGCUGCCAGCCUACGCCAGAGCCACAGCAACGCGGGAUCCGAGCCCCAUCUGCAACCUACACCACAGCUCACGGCAACGCCGGAUCGUUAACCCACCACGCAAGGCCAGGGAUCAAACCCGCAACCUCAUGGUUCCUCGUCGGAUUCAUUAACCACUGCGCCACGACGGGAACUCCGCAACGUUCCUUUUUAGCGAGUUAGAAAUAAGAAUUGGUUUUCACAUAAUCUGGACCGCUUUGUUAGUUAUGGAAGGUAUGCUGCCAUAAGCCUAGCUUUUGCAUUUUUGUUUUCCUGUUUGCUGAUCUAAAAAAAUAGUCAGGGUCAUUCUCAUAACAAAGAAAUAGUCAACAAAUGAAGAUAAUAAGCAUGCUCUCCACAGGCAGUGGUGUAGAGACACCUCCCUUCUCCUGCUGCCUCUGCCGUCCCUGAGCCAGGAAGAGCCUCGGGCCCGCCAGCUGAGCCAGCUGAUGUUCGGUGCAGCCUCGGCUCUUCCCUGUGGUUUCAGCCCUCUCUCCUCUUGCCGGCAGCCCGUUCUUAGAGGUGACGGAGGAAGCACAAGGUGAUCCUUACGCUGGUCCCUUAGAGAUAGGGUCACGCCCUACCUGUGAUCUCAGGUACAGUCGUGGCAGGAACAGCAGUGCGUCUCAGAUGCCCUAAUGAGCUUUCUCAUUAACCUGAAAAAAACGGCCUUGGAGAGAAUUUCGAAAGUGAUUCCUGCCAGGAAAGCCUUCCACCGAUGGCUUUUCCAGCCGUGUGUUUCAGUGUCCCUGCUCCAGUGUUCUCUCCGGUGUGUGGAAUCACCCUCUUCCACAGUAAUCGGGUCCACGUAGAGCUGAUAGAAACCCCUGAGAAAAUCGUAACUGUGGAUUUUAAAACAUAUGAAUUGCUGUAUCUACUGCGUGAAUUGAUUGCCUACUUUUUUUUUUUUUUUGUCUUUUUGCCAUUUCUUGGGCCGCUCCCGUGGCAUAUGGAGAUUCCCAGGCUGGGGGUUUAAUCGGAGCCGUAGCCACCAGCCUAUGCCAGAACCACAGCCACGCAGGAUCCGAGCCGCGUCUGCAACCUACACCACGGCUCAUGGCCACGCCGGAUCAACCCACCGAGCAAGGCCAGGGAUCGAACCCGCAACCUCAUGGUUCCUAGUCGGAUUCGUUAACCACUGCGCCACGACAGGAACUCCUGAUUGCCUACUUUUUAUGGACCCUAGAAACAGGUACACCCAGUUAUUUGGUGCAGUUUCUUUUUACCAUUCUAAAGGAGCCAUUCGGCCAUACUGUUAACAUCUGACGCCUGAAAGAGACGUUCCCCUCCUUUGAAUAACAUCUUCUUUCUAGACGUAGCUAUUAGGAGAAAGCGCUCUGGUAUCUUAGGAAAAAAUAUCAGAUUAAGACGCCUUGACCCUGUUCUUCUAAUUUCCUUGCAUGCUGAGCCUUCGGAGAAGAUGGGGGGUAGAUUGGAAUUGGGGAUUGGGAGAGAUGGUUUAAUAAACCUUGUGAGAGACAGGUAAAGAAAUUUUAAUAUGAGAAAUCAGAGAGCACAGGUGUAUGUUGGUGCCAGUUUGUAUUUGCGUCGUUGUCUCCUGACCUGCUCACAGUCAGUCUUUAGGAAUGGGCAGAGCUCCCACCGUGGUGCCACAAAGAGGUGGCAGGUGCGCUGCAAGGUCCUGGCGGCUCCAAGUUUAAAAUUUGUUUGAAUCCUCUUAUUUGCAGGUUUUGUCCAAAGUCAGUAUUUAUGAGUGUCUCUAAUGCUUUUUUUUCCCAUCAUAAUUACGUAGUGGGAGGAAGCUGUAACGGGCUUUUCUCUAAGUCCCAUACAGACGCUCCCAGGUGCCCCCAGCUCAUCGCAGCAGGCCCUGCAUACGUGGUUUUCUCUGUCUGACCUGAGGGCAAAGCACUGGCACAGAGUUGCAGGUGUCGAUGGACUCGAGGUCAAGGGACUGAGAACCAUUUCUCAGCGUCUGGGACUGGGGUCCCCCUCUUUCCGCAUCAUUGACAGCAGCACCCCAGUCCUGGGUUCCUUCUGUGUGUUGGCACCUUGGGCUCCCUUUGGUUGGUUUGUGUGUGAAGCAAAAUGUUUCUGGCAGUCGUAACUUUCUGUGAGUCCUCCCUUUCCCAUUUGCAUUGAUUUAAGCCCAAUCUGUAUGCAGACGAAACAGCAUUAAAUGUCUGAAGGUUUUUACUCAGUAUUUCCCAGCCUGUGAACUCUUUGAAUGCGGUCAGGUCUGUUGGAGUAAACUGGCAGUGAGGUGGCCACAGGUUUGUGUUGACUGCUUUGCGUUUUCCUGGAAACAGUUUCUGUUGUGAGGUAAUAAAAUACAGGCUUCUCAAGGUUUCCUAGAACCUAUGGUUCCGUUCUCCUAGUCGUGCCUCAUCUGCUCUUAUUUUUCGGAUGUGUUAAUUUUAGACAAGGAAGCAAAACUCCUGCUUAGAUUUUUUUCAAUUUGUGGACUUAGGUAGAACUCAUUGCAUGAUGUAGAAAGAUUGGUGUCGGGGAUUGAUGGUGAGUGGGUGACACUCAGGUGUGCUGGGUGACUGCUGAGGUAGCCUGCUGACCGGCAGGGACCUCCUCUAGGCUCUGAAGGCACAGCUGUCUCAGAUGAAGUGAGUCCUUCCACUGUGAACCAGUUAUUACCCCCAGUAAGAAUUUGGUGGGGUUUUUUGUUGUUUUUUGGGUUUUUUUUUUUUUUUUUUUUUUUUUUUGUCUUUUUAGGGCUGCACCUGUGGCAUAUGGCAGUUCCCAGGCUAUGGGUCAAGCCGGCCUACACCACAGCAAUGCCAGAUCCCAGCCGACUCUGUGACCUACACCACAGCUCACAGCAACACUGGAUCCGGAACCCGUUGAGCGAGGCCAGGGGUCGCACCCGAAUCCUCAUGGCUGCUAGCCAGAUUCUUAACCCGCUGAGUCACCAUGGGAACUCCUGGUGGGGUUUUUGAUGUUGGGUUUCUACUUUUGGGUUUUGUCGUUGUUUGGAGACACCGCCUAAAGGACUAUGCAGAAAUGAGCAAAGCUUAAAUUCUUCUUGGACUAAGCGAACCUGAUGGGCCAGUUUACUGUUUGAAGCUUCCUGAUACUUGGUUUCUAAAGCGAUGGUUUUAUCCCUUACCCUUUGUGUGUUACUUAAAGAUGCUAAACCAGGAAUGCUUCAGGUGGCGGGGUACGCAUCUCUCUGCGGGGUUCCUAGAUGAUGCUUACCUUAUUUUAGAUUUGCGAGAUAGAGGAAUGAGUUGACUUACACCGCGUGUUCCAGCGCGGCUGGCGCUGGUGCGGUUCCAGCAGGGCUCUGUGCAGCCCCUGUGAGGCGCCUGCUGGCUCCGUGAGGUUGCCUGGGGCCCAAGUGCUGACCGUGAACCGGGUCUUGGAGGGGAAUGCUGUUUAAAGAAAGACAGCCCUUCUGUUUAGUUACAGUCUUAAACAUUGUGGCGUGUUUGGAAAUGGGGACGCAGGAUUUAAGUGGAAGGGUUUUAGCUGUUUGUGAAUUUCUUCCGUCUUUACUGCCUCAGGGAGGACUUGAGAGCCCUCUGGGUCCCGGCCUCUUCCCCCGGGUCCUAGUUCACUCCCCUGACUUUCCUUCCUGUGUCCCUCUCCUUAUCUGUUGGGCGGGGCAUGACCUGCGGAAAGGCUGUUGUGAGGAUUAGAGGAGAUCUGGUCUGCAGGGUCCCGGCAACACCUGUGUUCUCUCUUUGUAUGUUUGGUUUAUUUCUUCCACACAAACAGCUUUGAUCCUAUCAGCAUCACAUUAAAAUCCCGAAUAUGCCUUUGUUCUUUUACAGGAAAGGGUUCAAAAGAGAUUUCUUGGGUCGUGUCCACUCUUCAGUAUAAUCGAAACUCAGUCCUCAUACAAUGAUUAUUUCUAGUUUAUAAAGAUAUUGUGAGUAAUAAAUAGGAAAACUUGUUUCAUUGUUAGACCUAACAGAGGAGAUUUGACUGGGUUUUUCGGUCUUGUUUUUCAAAAAACAACACUUGACACCAGAUGGCACGUGUUCAGCAUUCCUGUGUGGUUUAGAAACACGUGUUUUAUUUUCCCCGUGCGUCUCUUCCUUUCUCUGCUAAGAAGGCGAUGUGUGACUUCAUGAACAGAACUAAAAUUUGGUUCUUCCGUUUCCAUGUAUCCUUUUUCUUCGGCACUUUGAAAUAAUCCCUCGUGAAUUAAAAGCCUCAGAAUUGUCAGCUGUCUUGAGAGUCUGCUGCUAAGACUUUCAAAAUUGCCACCACUUUGACUUGCACAACCCAUCUGACAUCAGUUUUCAUGAGGGGAAUAAGCCCGUUCCCUUGCAUCGAGAGCUUAGUUGUGCAGAGGUGUCUCUGCCCUGUCUUCUCUGGUGAUGCCAGAGCAGAUUUUCUCAAAAUCAAUCUUACAUAAUUUCUCCCCCGAAGCCUCCAGCAUUGACCCAUGGCCGAUGGAACAACAUCAGCGCUCCUUUGCAUGAGCACAGAAAACACUUCAGGCUGCUCUGGACCCGACUUUUCAGCGUUGGUACCCACCCUUUCUCCCUUCUCUUAAUCCAGCCCGAGUAGAUCUGCACACACGCCGUUGGUUUUGCUUAGCCUGUUCUUUCUUUGCUGGCAAGCCCCAGCUAAUGCUUCCAAACCCAUUUCACUUAACUGUCUUCUUCAUAAUCAUCUCUGCACUCUUGGAGGCGACAGCAGACCCUCCCCUGCCCCUACUGUCCUUCCUGCCUAGGCUGGCAGUCACAUCUCCCCAGGCCAGGGCCAUGGCUCAUUCUGUCCCUGGCUCUGGGCACAGAACCAGAGCUAAGUAACUGCUCAAAAAAAAAAAAGGCCUUUUCAGCCUGGUUUUCAAAAAGAGCAAUCUAUAUGUGUGCAACAGGUUAAGGAAUAGCGCAGGAGUGUCUGUUGCGGCUCAGCAGGUUGAGGACCUGGUGUUGUCUCUGUGAGGACGCAGGUUUAAUCCCUGGCCUUGUUCAGUGGGUUAAGGAUCCGGCAUUGCCGCAAGCAGCGGCGAAGGUCACAGAUGCUGCUCGGAUCAGGUGUCGCCAUGGCUGUGGCAUAGGCCCCAGCUGCAGCCCUGAUUCAUCCCCCAGCGCGAGAACGUCCAUAUGCCACAAGAGUGGCCAUAAAAAGAAGAAAAAAGAAAGAAAAAAA